Bos taurus (domestic cattle) is the source of this 72-nucleotide non-coding RNA. NCBI's taxonomy places the organism in Eukaryota, Metazoa, Chordata, Mammalia, Artiodactyla, Bovidae. The record is from Rfam.
UCCCUUGUGUCUCAGCUGGUAAAGAAUCCGCCUACAAUGCGGGAGACCUGGGUUUGAUUCCUGGGUUGGGAA